RNAcentral lists this ribosomal RNA (484 nucleotides) under uncultured bacterium. RNAcentral's name for it is "partial 16S ribosomal RNA". It matches the Rfam family "Bacterial small subunit ribosomal RNA", at positions 28 to 523 of the family's 1533-position model. The record is from RNAcentral.
GAUGAACGCUGGCGGCGUGCUUAACGCAUGCAAGUCGAACGAGAACGGAUUAUAGCUUGCUAUAAUUGUCAGCUAAGUGGCGCACGGGUGAGUAAUGUAUAGGUAAUAUGCCUCUUACUAAGGGAUAACAAAUGGAAACGCUUGCUAAUACCUUAUACUCCUUAUUAACAGAAGUUAAUAAGGGAAAGAUUUAUUGGUAAGAGAUUAGCCUGUAUUGUAUCAGUUAGUUGGUGGGGUAAUGGCUUACCAAGACUAUGACACAUAACUGGUUUGAGAGGAUGAUCAGUCACACUGGAACUGAGACACGGUCCAGACUCCUACGGGAGGCAGCAGUGGGGAAUAUUGCACAAUGGACGAAAGUCUGAUGCAGCAACGCCGCGUGGAGGAUGACACAUUUCGGUGCGUAAACUCCUUUUAUAUGAGAAGAUAAUGACGGUAUUAUAUGAAUAAGCACCGGCUAACUCCGUGCCAGCAGCCGCAGUAA